AGCGUACACGGUGGAUGCCCUGGCAGUCAGAGGCGAUGAAGGACGUGCUAAUCUGCGAUAAGCGUCGGUAAGGUGAUAUGAACCGUUAUAACCGGCGAUUUCCGAAUGGGGAAACCCAGUGUGUUUCGACACACUAUCAUUAACUGAAUCCAUAGGUUAAUGAGGCGAACCGGGGGAACUGAAACAUCUAAGUACCCCGAGGAAAAGAAAUCAACCGAGAUUCCCCCAGUAGCGGCGAGCGAACGGGGAGCAGCCCAGAGCCUGAAUCAGUGUGUGUGUUAGUGGAAGCGUCUGGAAAGGCGCGCGAUACAGGGUGACAGCCCCGUACACAAAAAUGCACAUGCUGUGAGCUCGAUGAGUAGGGCGGGACACGUGGUAUCCUGUCUGAAUAUGGGGGGACCAUCCUCCAAGGCUAAAUACUCCUGACUGACCGAUAGUGAACCAGUACCGUGAGGGAAAGGCGAAAAGAACCCCGGCGAGGGGAGUGAAAAAGAACCUGAAACCGUGUACGUACAAGCAGUGGGAGCACGCUUAGGCGUGUGACUGCGUACCUUUUGUAUAAUGGGUCAGCGACUUAUAUUCUGUAGCAAGGUUAACCGAAUAGGGGAGCCGAAGGGAAACCGAGUCUUAACUGGGCGUUAAGUUGCAGGGUAUAGACCCGAAACCCGGUGAUCUAGCCAUGGGCAGGUUGAAGGUUGGGUAACACUAACUGGAGGACCGAACCGACUAAUGUUGAAAAAUUAGCGGAUGACUUGUGGCUGGGGGUGAAAGGCCAAUCAAACCGGGAGAUAGCUGGUUCUCCCCGAAAGCUAUUUAGGUAGCGCCUCGUGAAUUCAUCUCCGGGGGUAGAGCACUGUUUCGGCAAGGGGGUCAUCCCGACUUACCAACCCGAUGCAAACUGCGAAUACCGGAGAAUGUUAUCACGGGAGACACACGGCGGGUGCUAACGUCCGUCGUGAAGAGGGAAACAACCCAGACCGCCAGCUAAGGUCCCAAAGUCAUGGUUAAGUGGGAAACGAUGUGGGAAGGCCCAGACAGCCAGGAUGUUGGCUUAGAAGCAGCCAUCAUUUAAAGAAAGCGUAAUAGCUCACUGGUCGAGUCGGCCUGCGCGGAAGAUGUAACGGGGCUAAACCAUGCACCGAAGCUGCGGCAGCGACGCUGAUGCGUUGUUGGGUAGGGGAGCGUUCUGUAAGCCUGUGAAGGUGUGCUGUGAGGCAUGCUGGAGGUAUCAGAAGUGCGAAUGCUGACAUAAGUAACGAUAAAGCGGGUGAAAAGCCCGCUCGCCGGAAGACCAAGGGUUCCUGUCCAACGUUAAUCGGGGCAGGGUGAGUCGACCCCUAAGGCGAGGCCGAAAGGCGUAGUCGAUGGGAAACAGGUUAAUAUUCCUGUACUUGGUGUUACUGCGAAGGGGGGACGGAGAAGGCUAUGUUGGCCGGGCGACGGUUGUCCCGGUUUAAGCGUGUAGGCUGGUUUUCCAGGCAAAUCCGGAAAAUCAAGGCUGAGGCGUGAUGACGAGGCACUACGGUGCUGAAGCAACAAAUGCCCUGCUUCCAGGAAAAGCCUCUAAGCAUCAGGUAACAUCAAAUCGUACCCCAAACCGACACAGGUGGUCAGGUAGAGAAUACCAAGGCGCUUGAGAGAACUCGGGUGAAGGAACUAGGCAAAAUGGUGCCGUAACUUCGGGAGAAGGCACGCUGAUAUGUAGGUGAAGCGACUUGCUCGUGGAGCUGAAAUCAGUCGAAGAUACCAGCUGGCUGCAACUGUUUAUUAAAAACACAGCACUGUGCAAACACGAAAGUGGACGUAUACGGUGUGACGCCUGCCCGGUGCCGGAAGGUUAAUUGAUGGGGUCAGCGCAAGCGAAGCUCUUGAUCGAAGCCCCGGUAAACGGCGGCCGUAACUAUAACGGUCCUAAGGUAGCGAAAUUCCUUGUCGGGUAAGUUCCGACCUGCACGAAUGGCGUAAUGAUGGCCAGGCUGUCUCCACCCGAGACUCAGUGAAAUUGAACUCGCUGUGAAGAUGCAGUGUACCCGCGGCAAGACGGAAAGACCCCGUGAACCUUUACUAUAGCUUGACACUGAACAUUGAGCCUUGAUGUGUAGGAUAGGUGGGAGGCUUUGAAGUGUGGACGCCAGUCUGCAUGGAGCCGACCUUGAAAUACCACCCUUUAAUGUUUGAUGUUCUAACGUUGACCCGUAAUCCGGGUUGCGGACAGUGUCUGGUGGGUAGUUUGACUGGGGCGGUCUCCUCCUAAAGAGUAACGGAGGAGCACGAAGGUUGGCUAAUCCUGGUCGGACAUCAGGAGGUUAGUGCAAUGGCAUAAGCCAGCUUGACUGCGAGCGUGACGGCGCGAGCAGGUGCGAAAGCAGGUCAUAGUGAUCCGGUGGUUCUGAAUGGAAGGGCCAUCGCUCAACGGAUAAAAGGUACUCCGGGGAUAACAGGCUGAUACCGCCCAAGAGUUCAUAUCGACGGCGGUGUUUGGCACCUCGAUGUCGGCUCAUCACAUCCUGGGGCUGAAGUAGGUCCCAAGGGUAUGGCUGUUCGCCAUUUAAAGUGGUACGCGAGCUGGGUUUAGAACGUCGUGAGACAGUUCGGUCCCUAUCUGCCGUGGGCGCUGGAGAACUGAGGGGGGCUGCUCCUAGUACGAGAGGACCGGAGUGGACGCAUCACUGGUGUUCGGGUUGUCAUGCCAAUGGCACUGCCCGGUAGCUAAAUGCGGAAGAGAUAAGUGCUGAAAGCAUCUAAGCACGAAACUUGCCCCGAGAUGAGUUCUCCCUGACUCCUUGA
This 2787-nucleotide ribosomal RNA is filed under the name human gut metagenome. RNAcentral describes it as "bacterial LSU rRNA". It matches the Rfam family "Bacterial large subunit ribosomal RNA". The record is from RNAcentral.